AGAGGCUUAGGAUAAAAAUUAAACCGAAAGCCUUCAAAGCUUUAAACAGGAGUGAAAAUCUCCUAGCCCCUG
This 72-nucleotide transfer RNA is filed under the name Myroconger compressus (red eel). Its description in RNAcentral is "tRNA-Trp". It matches the Rfam family "tRNA". From Rfam's summary of the family: Transfer RNA (tRNA) molecules are approximately 80 nucleotides in length. Their secondary structure includes four short double-helical elements and three loops (D, anti-codon, and T loops). Lineage: Eukaryota; Metazoa; Chordata; Actinopteri; Anguilliformes; Myrocongridae. The record is from RNAcentral.